UACGUAGGGUGCAAGCGUUAAUCGGAAUUACUGGGCGUAAAGCGUGCGCAGGCGGCUUUGCAAGACAGAUGUGAAAUCCCCGGGCUCAACCUGGGAACUGCAUUUGUGACUGCAUGGCUAGAGUGCGGCAGAGGGGGAUGGAAUUCCGCGUGUAGCAGUGAAGUGCGUAGAUAUGCGGAGGAACACCGAUGGCGAAGGCAAUCCCCUGGGCCUGCACUGACGCUUAUGCACGAAAGCGUGGGGAGCAAACAGG
Molecule: ribosomal RNA, 253 nt
Filed under: uncultured bacterium
Lineage: Bacteria
Description: partial 16S ribosomal RNA
Rfam family: Bacterial small subunit ribosomal RNA
Source: RNAcentral